UGGGGAAUAUUGCACAAUGGGCGCAAGCCUGAUGCAGCCAUGCCGCGUGUAUGAAGAAGGCCUUCGGGUUGUAAAGUACUUUCAGCGAGGAGGAAGGCGUUGUGGUUAAUAACCGCAACGAUUGACGUUACUCGCAGAAGAAGCACCGGCUAACUCCGUGCCAGCAGCCGCGGUAAUACGGAGGGUGCAAGCGUUAAUCGGAAUUACUGGGCGUAAAGCGCACGCAGGCGGUCUGUCAAGUCGGAUGUGAAAUCCCCGGGCUCAACCUGGGAACUGCAUCCGAAACUGGCAGGCUAGAGUCUUGUAGAGGGGGGUAGAAUUCCAGGUGUAGCGGUGAAAUGCAUAGAGAUCUGGAGGAAUACCGGUGGCGAAGGCGGCCCCCUGGACAAAGACUGACGCUCAGGUGCGAAAGCGUGGGGAGCAAACA
Molecule: ribosomal RNA, 427 nt
Filed under: uncultured bacterium
Lineage: Bacteria
Description: partial 16S ribosomal RNA
Rfam family: Bacterial small subunit ribosomal RNA
Source: RNAcentral